This 85-nucleotide transfer RNA is filed under the name Colletotrichum chlorophyti. It matches the Rfam family "tRNA". Rfam says of the family: Transfer RNA (tRNA) molecules are approximately 80 nucleotides in length. Their secondary structure includes four short double-helical elements and three loops (D, anti-codon, and T loops). Lineage: Eukaryota; Fungi; Ascomycota; Sordariomycetes; Glomerellales; Glomerellaceae. The record is from Rfam by way of RNAcentral.
GGCCGGUUGGCCCAAUGGCAAGGCGUCUGACUACGAUUUCUAUCGUGCAAUCAGGAGAUUCUGGGUUCGACCCCCAGGCUGGUCA